RNAcentral lists this ribosomal RNA (253 nucleotides) under uncultured bacterium. RNAcentral's name for it is "partial 16S ribosomal RNA". It matches the Rfam family "Bacterial small subunit ribosomal RNA", at positions 524 to 776 of the family's 1533-position model. The record is from RNAcentral.
UACGUAGGUGGCUAGCGUUGUCCGGAUUUACUGGGCGUAAAGCGCGCGCAGGCGGUCGUUCAAGUCGAGUGUGAAAGCCCCCGGCUCAACUGGGGAGGGUCACUCGAUACUGAUCGACUUGAAGGCAGAAGAGGGAAGCGGAAUUCCCGGUGUAGUGGUGAAAUGCGUAGAUAUUCGGAAGAACACCAGUGGCGAAGGCGACACACUGGCUCACUACUGACGCUGAGGCGCGAAAGCGUGGGGAGCAAACAGG